CUUACCCAUAAUUCCUAGCAGGAAACCACAUGUCCAUUCAAUGUGUUGCCUCGGAUGAGUGGCCACAGAAUAUGGUGACCAUAACACAAGGGAGCAUGUGAGAACUAUUCACAUCAAUUAAAAGGUGGAAAGCAGGGGAGCUGUGUACGUGACAACAUUCAUGGAUUAAAAGUGAAGCGUGACUAUUGUUGGAGCUGCUGAGUGGCACGUGUCAAGUUGAUAAUGUGACGUUAUGUUUCCACAGAUUUUCACAGAAGGCUAGGCAAGGCCGUAGUUUGACACCUCAUUUGAAAAAUUGUACGACCAACAGUGCAGCACAUCAUCAGAACUACUUUGGAGUGCGAACUGGAUCCUUUGCUCAAAUCUUUGGAAGCUGGAACCAACAACAUUCUGACACUGAGGAACUCUUGCUUGUAUUGAACUUCUUAACAAAGAGAUUUUAUCCAAAAGAAUCAACUGGCAAAACACCAAAUAGAAUAAAUUGCAUAAAUCUGCCAUUUUAAUGAGUAAACAAAUGUAUAUACUGGCAGAAGUGUACAUGAUUAUACGCACAUGUGCAUGUAAAUGUAUAACAGAAAAGUUUGCCCUUUUAUCAACAGCAGUUGGAACAGGAAUCCUUCACUCAAGCACAAGCACAAGUGAAAAUUUAAAGUUGGUAUUAGGUGUGUGUGUGUAGUGUGAAUGUGGCAGUACAUAUGCACUGUCUUACUGCCUGCCCCACAAAAACUAAUAAAAUCAGCAGGAAGUUCACAGUAGUUGUGGGAGGCUCCUGAAGGAGCAAUGUAGGAUUCGCACAUCAUCUAGAGGUGUUAGAACAUUAACUUAGCUGAAGACUUCAACGUGAAAUUUGUAAUGUGCAAUCGUUUUGUUUCACAAUUACUUCAUUGUUUAAGCAUUAAGCUUUCAAAUCUGUUCAAAAUUUACUCUUUGUACAAGUUUUAAUGAAGAGAUCUCGACAAUUUUUGGUUCAUACUAUUAUGUGUGAAUGUGCCCUGUGUUUCUAGAUUCCAUUCAGACUGCCCCUGUUUUGGACUCUAAUUUUGUACUGAAUUCAACUUCUUUGGCUUAAUAAUUUACCUCCUUGCAACA
This is a long non-coding RNA of Rhincodon typus (whale shark), 1089 nucleotides long. RefSeq lists it as uncharacterized. The transcript is spliced from 3 exons. Lineage: Eukaryota; Metazoa; Chordata; Chondrichthyes; Orectolobiformes; Rhincodontidae. The record is from RefSeq and is a predicted model, not a curated record.